AGCGAACGCUGGCGGCAGGCCUAACACAUGCAAGUCGAACGAACCUUUCGGGGUUAGUGGCGGACGGGUGAGUAACACGUGGGAACGUGCCUUUAGGUUCGGAAUCACUCAGUUAAACUUGUGCUAAUACCGAAUGUGCCCUUCGGGGGAAAGAUUUAUCGCCUUUAGAGCGGCCCGCGUCUGAUUAGCUAGUUGGUUGAGGGAAUGGCUCACCAAGGCUACGAUCAGUAGCUGGUCUGAGAGGAUGAUCAGCCACAUUGGGAAUGAGACACGGCCCAAAAUCGGACGGGAGGCAGCAGUGGGGAAUCUUGCGCAAUGGGCGAAAGCGUGACGAAGCCAUGCCGGGUGAAUGAUGAAGGUCUUAGGAUUGUAAAAUUCUUUCACCGGGGACGAUAAUGACGGUACCCGGAGAAGAAGCCCCGGCUAACUUCGUG
RNAcentral lists this ribosomal RNA (434 nucleotides) under uncultured bacterium. Its description in RNAcentral is "partial 16S ribosomal RNA". It matches the Rfam family "Bacterial small subunit ribosomal RNA", at positions 29 to 507 of the family's 1533-position model. The record is from RNAcentral.